This 446-nucleotide ribosomal RNA is filed under the name uncultured bacterium. RNAcentral describes it as "partial 16S ribosomal RNA". It matches the Rfam family "Bacterial small subunit ribosomal RNA", at positions 330 to 792 of the family's 1533-position model. The record is from RNAcentral.
CCCAGACUCCUACGGGAGGCAGCAGUGAGGGAUAUUGGGCAAUGGGGGAAACCCUGACCCAGCGACGCCGCGUGAGGGAAGACGGUCUUCGGAUUGUAAACCUCUGUCUUUGGGGACGAAAAAGGACGGUACCCAAGGAGGAAGCUCCGGCUAACUACGUGCCAGCAGCCGCGGUAAUACGUAGGGAGCGAGCGUUGUCCGGAAUUACUGGGUGUAAAGGGAGCGUAGGCGGGAUUGCAAGUCAGAUGUGAAAUCCCGCGGCUCAACCGCGGAACUGCAUUUGAAACUGUGCUUCUUGAGUGCUGGAGAGGCAGACGGAAUUCCUAGUGUAGCGGUGAAAUGCGUAGAUAUUAGGAGGAACACCAGUGGCGAAGGCGGUCUGCUGGACAGUAACUGACGGUGAGGCGCGAAAGCGUGGGGAGCAAACAGGAUUAGAUACCCCCGUA